Molecule: ribosomal RNA, 375 nt
Filed under: uncultured organism
Description: partial 16S ribosomal RNA
Rfam family: Archaeal small subunit ribosomal RNA
Source: RNAcentral
CAGCACCUCAAGUGGUCAGGAUGAUUAUUGGGCCUAAAGCAUCCGUAGCCUGCUUUGUUAGUUUUCGGUUAAAUCCAUACGCUCAACGUAUGGGCUGCCGGGAAUACUGCAAAGCUAGGGAGUGGGAGAGGUAGACGGUACUCGGUAGGAAGGGGUAAAAUCCUUUGAUCUAUUGAUGACCACCUGUGGCGAAGGCGGUCUACCAGAACACGUCCGACGGUGAGGGAUGAAAGCUGGGGGAGCAAACCGGAUUAGAUACCCGGGUAGUCCCAGCUGUAAACUAUGCAAACUCGGUGAUGCAUUGGCUUGAUGCCCAAUGCAGUGCCGCAGGGAAGCCGUUAAGUUUGCCGCCUGGGAAGUACGUACGCAAGUAUG